RNAcentral lists this ribosomal RNA (3428 nucleotides) under Synura sp. Gungnam1072807A. RNAcentral's name for it is "bacterial LSU rRNA". It matches the Rfam family "Bacterial large subunit ribosomal RNA". Lineage: Eukaryota; Synurophyceae; Synurales; Mallomonadaceae. The record is from RNAcentral. RNAcentral also lists the same sequence under 1 other name.
GAAGCGAUGAAGGACGUGGCUACCGGCGAAACGUUUCGGGGAGUUGGAAGUAAGCUUUGAUCCGAAAGUAUCCGAAUGAGGAAACUCUUUAACUUCUUACUGAAUCUAUAAGUAAAGAAAGAGCAAACCUAGGGAAUUGAAACAUCUUAGUACCUAGAGGAAAAGAAAGUAAAAACGAUUCUCGGAGUAGUGGCGAACGAAAUGGGAACAGCCUAAACUUUUAAUAGUUUUAUUAAAAGGGUUGUGGGGUAAAAAUAUCUGAAAAGAGAAAAAUGAAUGGAAUUUUAAUGAAGUUCAUAUUUAAAAAUUAGGUGAAAUAAUUGGAAAAUUAUACCAAAGAAAGUGAUAGUCUUGUAACCAAAAAUUUUUAACAUUUUUUUAUACCCGAGUAGCAUGGGACACGUGGAAUCCCGUGUGAAUCUGCGAGGACCACCUCGUAAGGCUAAAUAUUCCUGGAUGUCCGAUAGCGAAUAGUACCGCGAGGGAAAGGUGAAAAGAACCCCGGGAGGGGAGUGAAAUAGAACGUGAAAUUGCAUGCCCACAAACAGAAGAAGAACGACUUAGCGUUUGACUUCGUGCCUGUUGAAGAAUGUUCCGGCGACUUAUAGUUAGUGGCAGGUUAAGAUAGAGAUAUUGGAGCCAGAGUGAAAGCGAGCUUGAAUAGAGCGUUUGUCACUAGUUAUAGACCCGAACCCGGUUGAUCUAACCAUGGCCAGGAUGAAACUUAGGUAACACUGAGUGGAGGUCCGAACCGACUGAUGUUGAAAAAUCAGCGGAUGAGCUGUGGUUAGGGGUGAAAUGCCAAUCGAAACCGGAGCUAGCUGGUUCUCCCCGAAAUGUAUUUAGGUGCAGCGGUUAAUGUUAUAGCGUAGGGGUAAAGCACUGUUUCGGUGCGGGCUGGUAAUUCGGUACCAAAUCGAGGCAAACUCUGAAUACUACGUGCAUAAUUAACCAGUAAGACUAUGGGGGAUAAGCUUCAUAGUCAAGAGGGAAACAGCCCAGAUCACCAGCUAAGGCCCCUAAAUAAUUACUAAGUGAUAAAGGAAGUGGAAAGGCUUAGACAACCAGGAGGUUUGCUUAGAAGCAGCAAUCCUUUAAAAAGUGCGUAAUAGCUUACUGGUCUAGCAAUUCUGCGCCGAAAACUUACGGGACUAAGUAAUUUGCCGAAGCUGUGAGAUAAAUCAAAUAUUUUAAUCUUGUAUUAAAAAAAAUAUUUAUCGGUAGGGGAGCGUUCUGUUGUAGGUUGAAGUGUUAGCGAAAGCGGGCAUGGACAAAACAGAAGUGAAAAUGUCGGAUUGAGUAGCGAAAACAUUGGUGAGAAUCCAAUGCUCCGAAAACCUAAGGUUUCCUCCGCAAGGCUCGUCCACGGAGGGUGAGUCAGGUCCUAAGGUGAGGCUGAAAAGCGUAAUCGAUGGACAAUAGAUUAAUAUUUCUAUACUGAUUUUUACUGGUAUCGAGGGACGAAGAAGGCUAAACUAGCCAGAUAUUGGUUACUGGUUUAAGUAAUUAAGGUGUUGAAGAUUAGAGAAAAUAAUCUGAGCUGAAAUACGAAUACAAGAUUUAUAUAAUCAAAGUAGUUGAUGUCAUACUUCCAAGAAAAGCUCGCUAUGCCAUAAGUAGAAAUCACCUGUACCUUAAACCGACACAGGUAGGUAAGUAGAGAAUACUAAGGAGCGCGGGAGAACCCUCCUUAAGGAACUCGGCAAAAUAGCUCUGUAACUUCGGAAGAAAGAGUGCCUUUUAGGCUGCAAUAUCAAGUUCCAAGCAACUGUUUAGCAAAAACACAGGUCUCCGCUAAGUUGUAAAACGAUGUAUGGGGGCUGACGCCUGCCCAGUGCCGGAAGGUUAAAGAAGUCGGUUAGCGUAAGCAAAGCUGGUAACUGAAGCCCCGGUGAACGGCGGCCGUAACUAUAAACCAGGAUCAAAUUGUAGUUAUAAAAUUUAGCUAUAUGCUGGAAAAUCUCGUUUGAAUCUUUCAUUACUUUGUUGGUUAAGAAAGCAGCUAGUUUCUAGCUCUUGUAUAAAUCAAAAGUGAAAAUAUGAAAGUAGAGACAAUCAGCAGGAAAGACUUUUUUUCAAAAAAAAAGAAAAUACUGAAUAAUUUUUUUGAUUAAAAGAAUCCUCAGAGACUACACGCUAAACAAGAAAAUCUAAAGUUUUCUUGAUGAUAUAGUCCGAUCUUUAUGGUGACAUAAAGGUAAAAAAGGUCUACCUCUUUUUUUACGUCUUUUAUAAAAAAAUAAAAAGAUUAACAUAAAUGAACGGUCCUAAGGUAGCGAAAUUCCUUGUCAGGUAAGUUCUGACCCGCACGAAUGGCGUAAUGAUUUGGAAGCUGUCUCGAGGAGGGACUCGGUGAAAUAGAAAUAUCUGUGAAGAUGCGGAUUACCUGCGCCUGGACAGUAAGACCCUAUGAAGCUUUACUGUAUCCUGAAAUUGGAUUUCGAUUUUUUUUGCGCAGAAUAGGUGGGAGACGUUGAGCCCAUUCUUUCGGGAAUGGAGGAGUCAUUAGUGAGAUACCACUCUGAAAAAAUUAAAAUUCUAACUUCAUACCGUAAUCCGGUUGAAAGACAGUUUCAGGUGGGCAGUUUGACUGGGGCGGUCGCCUCCCAAAAGGUAACGGAGGCGUACAAAGGUUCCCUCAGAUCGGUCAGAAAUCGAUCUUCGAGUGUAAAGGCAAAAGGGAGCUUAACUGUGAGACAAACAAGUCGAGCAGAGACGAAAGUCGGUCUUAGUGAUCUGACGAUGCUGUGUGGAAAGGUCGUCACUCAACGGAUAAAAGUUACUCUAGGGAUAACAGGCUGAUCUCCCCCAAGAGUUCCUAUCGACGGGGAGGUUUGGCACCUCAAAUAGGGGGCAUAAAGUCGUAAUACUUUAUGACAAUUUGGCUGUAUGCUGGAAAAUCCGUCCAUUAAUAAUGGUAUAGUAUCCUACAGUACAUUUUAAAAAUGUAAAAAUCUUUAGGUGCGGACAAUCAGCAGGGAAGUUUAUACAUUUAUGUAUAUAACCCCUCAACGACUACACGCCGAACAACCUUUAAGGUUGAUGAUAUAGUCUGAACUUUUAGGCGACUAAAAGGGUGAAAACCAUAAAAUAUGUUUGAGUUUUAUUUGAUCUUUUGAUCUUAUCGAAAGUUUAAAUUAUUCUCCAAUUACGUUUUAUUAACAUAAUUGCGAUGUCGGCUCAUCGCAUCCUGGGGCGGAAGUACGUCCCAAGGGUUGGGCUGUUCGCCCAUUAAAGCGGUACGUGAGCUGGGUUCAGAACGUCGCGAGACAGUUCGGUCCAUAUCCGGCGUGGGCGUUAGAGUAUUGAGAGUGACCUUUUUCUAGUACGAGAGGACCGAAAAAGACAUACCGCUAGUGUACCAGUUAUCGUGCCAACGGUAGACGCUGGGUAGCUAUGUAUGGUUAGGAUAACCGCUGAAAGCAUCU